UGGGAGUUGUAGUCCGGUGGCACGGCCCACGAGGCCCGGGAGCGUUCGUCCAGGGCAGUUAACGCCCGCGCUUGAGACCUGACUUCUGGCCUGACGGCUUUGAAAAGGUGAGAGUGCGUGCGUCAGAGGGCUCCAGAGGGCACACGAGGACAUUUGGCCGUGCCUCCGUGCCAUCUAUGAAGCUGACCCGACCCCAACACCUCAUCAGUACAGACCGGGAGACUGGGUUUUUGUCAAAAGGCACUGCCGGGAGACCCUUGAGCCGCGUUGGGAGGGUCCCCACGUCGUGGUGCUGACUACAUCCACCGCUCUUAAGGUAGACGCCAUCGCAACCUGGGUCCAUCACAGCCACGUCCGCCCAGCUGAUCCCUCUGCAGUCCGGGAAGACCUCAUCACACGAUGGAGCCUCGAUUACAAUCAGCACAACCUGCUCAAGCUCAAGCUACGGCGUACUCGACCUGCCUGAUACUGGUAACCUUGCUCGCGGCCACUCAUGCCACCAGGAGUCCCCACGUCCCCCGUUACCUUACUUGGCAAAUCAUAGACACCAGUUCGGGGACUGUACUUAAUCAGACCUCCCAGUUGAGCCCUAAAGACACUUGGUACCCGGACCUCUAUGUAGACCUGCUUUCCCUCAUUCACGUCCAAUACGACCCCGGAUUCGCACUCUCGGACUCCACGAGGCCGCACCCAGGACCAACCAAUGGGGAGGAGCGGAGGACUAUUUCUGUGCCUCCUGGUUGUGUGUCUCAAUGGGACAUAUAUGGUGGACUCCCCCGAAAACGGGUGAUCUAAUUACCAUCAGGCGGCCAAAUAGCCCGCCAUGCGACCGAGAAGGUAAUCCUUGUAACCCCGUGAGAAUAUCUUUCACGGAGCAAGGACAGGGUGGGACACCGGUAAGACCUGGGGAAUAUGUUUCUAUGGUAAGACUAGGGUCGGGUAUAUGGACCACGGGAGACUGUUCACUCUUCGGGUACGGGUGGCACCUCUCUCCCAACAGGCUCCAGCAGGAGUAGGGCCUAACCAAGUACUGGCCCCCCAACCCGCCUCUACCCGGGCGUCCCCGCCCAAGAGCACCCGGGCCCUGGCCUCACAGCCCUCUGCAUCCCUUGGCCCUACUGGGGCAUCCUCCACAUCCCCAACCCCAGUCCGCACCUCAACGUCUGACACAGACCCCUAUGGACCAUAGUUAUGGGAGCAUAUCAUGUGCUGAACGCUUCCCGACCUGACCUGACCGUGUCCUGUUGGCUCUGUUUAGAUGUCCGGCCACCAUAUUACGAAGGCAUUGCUAUUAGAGGCAAUUAUACAACGGCCUCUAAUUCCAGCUCCUGCAGGUAGCAGCAGGCCACUGCAGGACUAACCCUCCAGGCAGUAAUAGGGCAAGGUACUUGCAUAGGCCGAGUGUCCCCUGAACAAUCACAUCUUUGUAAUAACACUAACAGUCCCUAAUGGGACAGCUUACCUGCUCCCUGCCGAAAAUGCAUGGUGGGCCUGUUCUAGUGGCCUCGCUCCCUGCGUUCACUCCCAAAUCCUCCACUCCUCAAAAGAAGGCUUUUGCAUACUCAUCCAGCUAAUUCCUAAGCUAGUGUACCAUUCGGGGGAGGAAGUCCUCAGCAGGAUAGGCUCUGCUAGCUCCCGAAGCAGGAGAGAACCUGUCACAUCCCUGACCCUGGCUGCGCUCCUGGGGCUGGGACUAGCGGGAGCAGGAACCAGGAUAUCCUCGCUUGUUAUACAGGACAAGAACUAUGAAACCCUAAGAGCAGCCAUAGACCUAGAUAUAGAAAGAAUCGAGAAGUCCAUUACCCAUCUGUAAGAAUCUCUUACUUAUCUGAAGUAAUACUCCAGAACAGAAGAGGAUUAGACUUACUGUUCAUGCAGCAAGGAGGCUUAUGUGCUGCCCUAGGGGAGGAGUGUUGUUUUUAUGUUGAUCAUUUGGGAGUUAUAAAGGAGUCCAAGGCCCUCAUAAGAGAGGGAUUGCAGAAACGGAAGCUAGAGAGGGAGCAAUCCCAGUCUUGGUAUGAAUCAUUAUUUAAUUGGUCCCUGUGGUUAACCACUCUUAUUUCUGCCCUCGCUGGACCCUUUAUAAUUUUACUCAUGCUAUUGACCUUCAGCCCUUGCAUUAUCAACCAUCUAGUCCAAUUUGUCAAAGAGCACAUAGGGGCGGUUGAGUUGAUGGUUUUGUGCACUCAGUACCGGCUCUAGUAGCAGAAGGCGAGGUAGAAAUGCAGUCCAUCCCAUGAUUGGGCCUAUAAAUUUCAAGACAAGGGGAGAAUGAAAGGGCAAAGCAGGACUAACUCCAUUUUGUGUCGUAUCCUCCAUCUUGUGUAACUAUGUCCCCAACAUGACCUUUUUCCAAGAAAAGCCACAGAAUGCACCAAUUGCUUAACCCUGCUUCCCCCACCCCCUUAAAUCAGCCAAUAGGAAUGCAAGAGGAACUAACCUAAGGCCAGAAAUAUGCUAGCCACAUCCUGUCUUUGUGUAACUGGACCCUGGCCGCAUCCUGCCUUUGUGUCAAUAGACCCUAGCCCCCACCCAGCCAAUCAGAAUCGGCCAACUCAGUGGUCCGAGUAUCACCCCACCUCCUGACCCCAAGCCCUAUAAACUCUUUGUUCUCCUGAAGCUCGGGGCUCUCUUGAAUCCUGCCGCUGCAUCGGUAGAGGUGGAGAGACCGAGCUCGAGCUUGAAUAAAGGCUCUUUGCUUUUGCAUCGGA
Molecule: long non-coding RNA, 2711 nt
Organism: Myotis davidii
Lineage: Eukaryota; Metazoa; Chordata; Mammalia; Chiroptera; Vespertilionidae
Exons: 2
Source: RefSeq, a predicted model, not a curated record